GCCCCAGUAACGGCGAGUGAAGCGGCAACAGCUCAAAUUUGAAAUCUGGCCCCCCGGCCCGAGUUGUAAUUUGGAGAGGAUGCUUCUGGCGCGGCGCCGUCCGAGUUCCUUGGAACAGGACGCCACAGAGGGUGAGAGCCCCGUACGGACGGACGCCUAGCCUCUACGAAGCUCCUUCGACGAGUCGAGUAGUUUGGGAAUGCUGCUCAAAAUGGGAGGUAAAUUUCUUCUAAAGCUAAAUACCGGCCAGAGACCGAUAGCGCACAAGUAGAGUGAUCGAAAGAUGAAAAGCACUUUGAAAAGAGGGUUAAAAAGUACGUGAAAUUGUUGAAAGGGAAGCGCCUGUGACCAGACUUGCGCCCCGCGGACCACCCGGCGUUCUCGCCGGUGCACUCCGCGGGAUGCAGGCCAGCAUCGGUUCUCCCAGGGGGACAAAGGUUGCGGGAACGUAGCUCCUUCGGGAGUGUUAUAGCCCGUGGCGGCAUGCCCCUGGGGGGACCGAGGACCGCGCUUCGGCAAGGAUGCUGGCGUAAUGGUCACCAG
Molecule: ribosomal RNA, 543 nt
Filed under: Sporothrix sp.
Lineage: Eukaryota; Fungi; Ascomycota; Sordariomycetes; Ophiostomatales; Ophiostomataceae
Description: LSU rRNA
Rfam family: Eukaryotic large subunit ribosomal RNA
Source: RNAcentral